RNAcentral lists this long non-coding RNA (664 nucleotides) under Homo sapiens (human). RNAcentral's name for it is "HSALNT0340043". Lineage: Eukaryota; Metazoa; Chordata; Mammalia; Primates; Hominidae. The record is from RNAcentral.
CGACCGACUCCUUGAGAAGAAACGGCGGAGACCUGAGACCCGGAGGCUGAGGCUGUAGGUGGGCUCCGCUGGGUAAAAGUUGCCGCAGCAGCUGUCCCUUGGCCCCAUCGCGAUUUAUUUUUCCCCCUUGCUUUCCGGGUCCCGGGAUCCCAAGUUUGUAACUAACGGGAGCGAAUCCACACCCGAGCAAAAUGUUUGCGAGUUUCAGGCGCCCUUAGUUGAAAGGCUGUAAUUAACAAGUCCGCUGUUUGCCAGCCAGGCGCCGUUGCAGGCGCUUUCUGUGGAUUGUCAUUUAUUUCUCACAGCAACCCUAGGAGGCUGUUAUCCUUGACAUCUGCAGCAGCCCUUCCAAGCUGUGGAGACCAGGUCAUCUGGAAUGCCCAUUUAUGUCAAUGGAAGAAAGAAAAAGGGGUCUCCUCCCAUCCUCACCACUGCAUUCUCCCACCAACCCUGCUCCUGUCCCACUUCCCACAACUCAGUUGUUGACAAUUUAACAGUGGGUUUCUGGAAACAGUGCUGCCUCCUUGAUGGUCUAACUAACUACCAGAGUUAUUCUAACAGCAGGAAUUUCAAGCCAGCAAACCAGACAUACAUAGGAGGCACAGCAAAAGACCCAAGGUGAGGGGCUUCCCUCACCUUCACCCUUGUUCUCACGUGGAGGUGG